Molecule: ribosomal RNA, 253 nt
Filed under: uncultured bacterium
Lineage: Bacteria
Description: partial 16S ribosomal RNA
Rfam family: Bacterial small subunit ribosomal RNA
Source: RNAcentral
UACGAAGGGGGCUAGCGUUGCUCGGAAUCACUGGGCGUAAAGCGCACGUAGGCGGCUUUUUACGUCAGGGGUGAAAUCCUGGAGCUCAACUCCAGAACUGCCUUUGAUACUGAGGAUCUUGAGUUCGGGAGAGGUGAGUGGAACUGCGAGUGUAGAGGUGAAAUUCGUAGAUAUUCGCAAGAACACCAGUGGCGAAGGCGGCUCACUGGCCCGAUACUGACGCUGAGGCACGAAAGCGUGGGGAGCAAACAGG